UGGGGGUCGGAGUUAUCACUCCCAACCCAUGUGAACUUAUCUCUUUGUUGCCUCGGCGCAAGCUACCCGGGACCUCGCGCCCCGGGCGGCCCGCCGGCGGACAAACCAAAACUCUUGUUAUCUUAGUUGAUUAUCUGAGUGUCUUAUUUAAUAAGUCAAAACUUUCAACAACGGAUCUCUUGGUUCUGGCAUCGAUGAAGAACGCAGCGAAAUGCGAUAAGUAAUGUGAAUUGCAGAAUUCAGUGAAUCAUCGAAUCUUUGAACGCACAUUGCGCCCAUUAGUAUUCUAGUGGGCAUGCCUGUUCGAGCGUCAUUUCAACCCCUAAGCACAGCUUAUUGUUGGGAACCUACGGCUUCGUAGUUCCUCAAAGACAUUGGCGGAGUGGCAGUGGUCCUCUGAGCGUAGUAAUCUUUUAUCUCGCUUCUGUUAGGUGCUGCCCCCCCGGCCGUAAAACCCCCAAUUUUUUCUGGUUGACCUCGGAUCAGGUAGGAAUACCCGCUGAACUUAAGCAUAUCAAUAAGCGGAGGA
This 529-nucleotide ribosomal RNA is filed under the name Nigrospora sp. JL13. RNAcentral's name for it is "eukaryotic LSU rRNA". The stretch from base 160 to 313 matches the Rfam family "5.8S ribosomal RNA". The record is from RNAcentral. Lineage: Eukaryota; Fungi; Ascomycota; Sordariomycetes; Amphisphaeriales; Apiosporaceae.